ACGCUGGCGGCGUGCCUAAUACAUGCAAGUAGAACGCUGAAGAGAGGAGCUUGCUCUUCUUGGAAGAGUUGCGAACGGGUGAGUAACGCGUAGGUAACCUGCCUUGUAGCGGGGGAUAACUAUUGGAAACGAUAGCUAAUACCGCAUAACAAUGGGUGACCCAUGUCAUUCAUUUGAAAGGGGCAACUGCUCCACUACAAGAUGGACCUGCGUUGUAUUAGCUAGUAGGUGAGGUAACGGCUCACCUAGGCGACGAUACAUAGCCGACCUGAGAGGGUGAUCGGCCACACUGGGACUGAGACACGGCCCAGACUCCUACGGGAGGCAGCAGUAGGGAAUCUUCGGCAAUGGGGGCAACCCUGACCGAGCAACGCCGCGUGAGUGAAGAAGGUUUUCGGAUCGUAAAGCUCUGUUGUAAGUCAAGAACGAGUGUGAGAGUGGAAAGUUCACACUGUGACGGUAGCUUACCAGAAAGGGACGGCUAACUACGUGCCAGCAGCCGCGGUAAUACGUAGGUCCCGAGCGUUGUCCGGAUUUAUUGGGCGUAAAGCGAGCGCAGGCGGUUUGAUAAGUCUGAAGUUAAAGGCUGUGGCUCAACCAUAGUUCGCUUUGGAAACUGUCAAACUUGAGUGCAGAAGGGGAGAGUGGAAUUCCAUGUGUAGCGGUGAAAUGCGUAGAUAUAUGGAGGAACACCGGUGGCGAAAGCGGCUCUCUGGUCUGUAACUGACGCUGAGGCUCGAAAGCGUGGGGAGCGAACAGGAUUAGAUACCCUGGUAGUCCACGCCGUAAACGAUGAGUGCUAGGUGUUGGGUCCUUUCCGGGAUUCAGUGCCGCAGCUAACGCAUUAAGCACUCCGCCUGGGGAGUACGACCGCAAGGUUGAAACUCAAAGGAAUUGACGGGGGCCC
RNAcentral lists this ribosomal RNA (907 nucleotides) under uncultured bacterium. Its description in RNAcentral is "bacterial SSU rRNA". It matches the Rfam family "Bacterial small subunit ribosomal RNA", at positions 33 to 922 of the family's 1533-position model. The record is from RNAcentral.